GUGUGGGUUGUCCUGGGGAGCUACUGAGGUUAGGGAAGUGUCUCUGGGGCGAGUAAAGGAAUCUCUUCUGAAAACAUCUCAGGUGGCGAAGUUGUACUUUCCUUAUUUUUAACUCCUUCAAAAGUGAAAGUAAAGUGGAAUUCUGCAUAUUCCGCUUUAGGAUGGCAGUUUAAGAAUUAUUAGUAGCUGGGUGAGUGCGCACAGUCGCAGCCGCUGACGUACUUGAUAGUUUCAGGCCAGCAUGGGAAAGUAUGCACCAACUGUAAAUAGGAUUCACUGCUGGUCUGCUUCAGAGGAUUUCCUACUCUCGAAGUUCAUUCUAGAGGUUGACCAGAAUCAAAGAAAACUCCCGGGCCCCUGCUCCAUCCUUGCUUCUCUGCAGUUCAUUCUCCUAGAGGUUGACCAGAAUCAAAGAAAACUCCCAUGCAGGUGGGAUAGAGCCAGAGUUGAGUGAAGAGAGAGUCAUUUUUCCCCUCUGAAAAGCAAGAAAUUCGCCCAAUGGCCAGUUUAUGAACCCUGACCUUAAGAAGCCUGCAAAAAAUGUAUCACACACCCUGCCAGCUGCUAUUUUAUGUGAGUUUACCAGUUUGGGACAGACUUCAAUACCAAAAUAAAAACCAUCAGUCACCAAACCUCUGAGAAAUA
RNAcentral lists this long non-coding RNA (645 nucleotides) under Bos mutus (wild yak). Its description in RNAcentral is "lncRNA (ENSBMUG00000006680.1)". The record is from RNAcentral. Lineage: Eukaryota; Metazoa; Chordata; Mammalia; Artiodactyla; Bovidae.